UAACCCUUCUAGGAAUUCAGAAAGCCUAUGGCAUGUAUUUAUAGAGAUAACUUCACGAGCACCAGGAGGUACUGAAUUUAAUUUCACAUCUUAAAAAUCUCUUGCGAAUCUGACCUAAAUCACAUAGAUAACCCGCGAGUUAUUGAUACACUGCGUGAAAAAAGAAACAAAUGCGCUGACCGUUGAAGGGAUAGGCAGCUUCUUAUUAUGUAACACGUGUUUGUAACGUUCCGAGUGUGUAAUAAAGCAUGAAGCUCACGCUUUUUUUCAUUUGAAAAGCAUACGUAUGAUAAGUUCAGACGUCAAAAGGUUCAUACUAGUUAAAAGCAACAGAGACAAUUUCACCGGUGACCUUUAAAAUC
RNAcentral lists this long non-coding RNA (362 nucleotides) under Ananas comosus (pineapple). Its description in RNAcentral is "long non-coding RNA (ACOM_LNC023654)". The record is from RNAcentral. Lineage: Eukaryota; Viridiplantae; Streptophyta; Magnoliopsida; Poales; Bromeliaceae.